This 468-nucleotide ribosomal RNA is filed under the name uncultured bacterium. RNAcentral describes it as "partial 16S ribosomal RNA". It matches the Rfam family "Bacterial small subunit ribosomal RNA", at positions 28 to 507 of the family's 1533-position model. The record is from RNAcentral.
GACGAACGCUGGCGGCGUGCUUAACACAUGCAAGUCGAACGAUGAUGCCAGCUUGCUGGUGGAUUAGUGGCGAACGGGUGAGUAACACGUGAGCAACCUGCCCCUGACUUCGGGAUAACCGCGGGAAACCGUGGCUAAUACCGGAUAUGACGCGCUAUCGCAUGGUGGUGUGUGGAAAGAUUUAUCGGUUGGGGAUGGGCUCGCGGCCUAUCAGCUUGUUGGUGGGGUGAUGGCCUACCAAGGCGACGACGGGUAGCCGGCCUGAGAGGGUGACCGGCCACACUGGGACUGAGACACGGCCCAGACUCCUACGGGAGGCAGCAGUGGGAAAUAUUGCACAAUGGGCGCAAGCCUGAUGCAGCGACGCCGCGUGAGGGAUGACGGCCUUCGGGUUGUAAACCUCUUUCAGUAGGGAAGAAGGCCUUCGGGUUGACGGUACCUGCAGAAGAAGCGCCGGCUAACUACGUG